UGGGAACUGCAUCUGAUACUGGCAAGCUUGAGUCUCGUAGAGGGGGGUAGAAUUCCAGGUGUAGCGGUGAAAUGCGUAGAGAUCUGGAGGAAUACCGGUGGCGAAGGCGGCCCCCUGGACGAAGACUGACGCUCAGGUGCGAAAGCGUGGGGAGCAAACAGGAUUAGAUACCCUGGUAGUCCACGCCGUAAACGAUGUCGACUUGGAGGUUGUGCCCUUGAGGCGUGGCUUCCGGAGCUAACGCGUUAAGUCGACCGCCUGGGGAGUACGGCCGCAAGGUUAAAACUCAAAUGAAUUGACGGGGGCCCGCACAAGCGGUGGAGCAUGUGGUUUAAUUCGAUGCAACGCGAAGAACCUUACCUGGUCUUGACAUCCACGGAAGUUUUCAGAGAUGAGAAUGUGCCUUCGGGAACCGUGAGACAGGUGCUGCAUGGCUGUCGUCAGCUCGUGUUGUGAAAUGUUGGGUUAAGUCCCGCAACGAGCGCAACCCUUAUCCUUUGUUGCCAGCGGUCCGGCCGGGAACUCAAAGGAGACUGCCAGUGAUAAACUGGAGGAAGGUGGGGAUGACGUCAAGUCAUCAUGGCCCUUACGACCAGGGCUACACACGUGCUACAAUGGCGCAUACAAAGAGAAGCGACCUCGCGAGAGCAAGCGGACCUCAUAAAGUGCGUCGUAGUCCGGAUUGGAGUCUGCAACUCGACUCCAUGAAGUCGGAAUCGCUAGUAAUCGUGGAUCAGAAUGCCACGGUGAAUACGUUCCCGGGCCUUGUACACACCGCCCGUCACACCAUGGGAGUGGGUUGCAAAAGAAGUAGGUAGCUUAACCUUCGGGAGGGCGCUUACCACUUUGUGAUUCAUGACUGGGGUGAAGUCGUAACAAGGUAACCGUAGGGGAACCUGCGGUUGGAUCACCUCCUUACCUUAAAGAAGC
Molecule: ribosomal RNA, 930 nt
Filed under: Escherichia coli
Lineage: Bacteria; Pseudomonadati; Pseudomonadota; Gammaproteobacteria; Enterobacterales; Enterobacteriaceae
Description: bacterial SSU rRNA
Rfam family: Bacterial small subunit ribosomal RNA
Source: RNAcentral